RNAcentral lists this ribosomal RNA (318 nucleotides) under Mesomycoplasma hyopneumoniae. Its description in RNAcentral is "bacterial SSU rRNA". It matches the Rfam family "Bacterial small subunit ribosomal RNA", at positions 233 to 547 of the family's 1533-position model. Lineage: Bacteria; Bacillati; Mycoplasmatota; Mycoplasmoidales; Metamycoplasmataceae. The record is from RNAcentral.
GCCAAUUAGUUAGUUGGUAGGGUAAAGCCUACCAAGACGAUGAUGUUUAGCGGGGCCAAGAGGUUGUACCGCCACACUGGGAUUGAGAUACGGCCCAGACUCCUACGGGAGGCAGCAGUAAGGAAUAUUCCACAAUGAGCGAAAGCUUGAUGGAGCGACACAGCGUGCAGGAUGAAGUCUUUCGGGAUGUAAACUGCUGUUGUAAGGGAAGAAAAAACUAAAUAGGAAAUGCUCUAGUCUUGACGGUACCUUAUUAGAAAGCGACGGCAAACUAUGUGCCAGCAGCCGCGGUAAUACAUAGGUCGCAAGCGUUAUCCG